GACAGAGGGUGCAAACGUUGUUCGGAAUUACUGGGCGUAAAGCGCACGUAGGCGGAUUUGUAAGUCAGGGGUGAAAUCCCGGGGCUCAACCUCGGAACUGCCUUUGAUACUGCAAAUCUCGAGUCCGGAAGAGGUGAGUGGAAUCCCUAGUGUAGAGGUGAAAUUCGUAGAUAUUAGGAAGAACACCAGUGGCGAAGGCGGCUCACUGGUCCGGUACUGACGCUGAGGUGCGAAAGCGUGGGGAGCAAACAGG
This 253-nucleotide ribosomal RNA is filed under the name uncultured bacterium. RNAcentral's name for it is "partial 16S ribosomal RNA". It matches the Rfam family "Bacterial small subunit ribosomal RNA", at positions 524 to 776 of the family's 1533-position model. The record is from RNAcentral.